Non-coding RNA from Vicugna pacos (alpaca), 1706 nucleotides. Lineage: Eukaryota; Metazoa; Chordata; Mammalia; Artiodactyla; Camelidae. The record is from RefSeq and is a predicted model, not a curated record.
AGCUUCCCAGGUUCCCCAGGACUCCGCGUGGUGUCGGCCUGGGUCGCUUUUCUGGUCUGAGGACGAGCCCGCGUGCACAUCGGCUGCCCCCCAACUCUGUAGCAGACGUCCCCGCUCACCCCAAAGAUUGCUUGGGGCUGACCUUCCAGGGGCCUGACCCGGGACUCUGCUAAAUACUGAGAAGCGGCUUCUAACAAGGAGUCAAGACUUCUAAAACCGGUGGGGUUGGCUCCAUCUUUCUUAGAAUCCAUACCUGGCCCCCAUGCUUGUGGGGACCCCAGAAGCAGAGUUCCCACGGCGUCAAGGCAGCACCAACCCAAGGCUUGAGUAUGGGGGCUUCCAGUAGCUGUUUGAAGUAAAUGAAUCUGUUGAAGACCAUUGGUUCGUGUGAGCUGAGCUCCUCAGAGAUGAGUUCAUAAACCAGAGUCUGCUUGAAACAUGGGAGCAUCUAGUUUAAUCAUCCGAUCUCACUUGGAAGAGACGAUUUUCCAUCAGAACCCUGUGAGCUUCCUCCCAUCUUCCUGAGAGGACUUAAGACAUUCCACAUGGACCCUUCCUUUCUUCGGAGCCUUUCUUUGACCGCCCACCAUUGAGAAGUACCUUGCAAGCAUGAGGGGACUCAAAAUGUUGAAUGUUAUCACCCAGCACAGAUGGUAGGUAGUAGAUGAGUCUAGUUUAUUAGCUAAUAAUUAUUUUGGAUACCAGUUAUACAUGUUAGUCCUGUAUUUUACUACCAGGUAUCAGUAAAUUAUUUUGGCCUUUUGAACUCAUGCUCUGCCUUUCAACCUGUUUUCUUUAAAGACAAGCCCACUUCCCUCUGGGCCUCUGUUAGUCUUUUAAUUUUAAUGGCUCAUCAAAUCCCUGGGCGGCAGGAUUGACAGCACCAAAGGAGAAAGCAACUGAACAGGUAGAACAGUGAAACAAUCUCAAAAAAAGAUGACACAGGACACAGUGUUUCAAAAUUUGUACAUUGUUUACUUUAAGCAACAAUCCAGGAUUGUGAAAGUACAACACACAUUUUAAGGAUGAGACUUUCAUUUCAUGGUCUAGCACCAGCAUCAUGCACACAGCUUCAAGUUACCUAAGAGCACUGCCCCCGUGGGGUCCGUGCACCACGAAGACCCACUUCUGUGUGGUCCCCGCCCUUGCUUCACCACCUGGAAUCCAUCAAUUUGUACACAGAAGCCUUCCUCUGCAUGGGAGCAGCGGGCUUUGCUCAGCCAGUCAGGUUAGUAUCUGGCUUAAAGAUUUCUUAAGGUUCAGAAAGGUAAGGUGUUUUUGUUUUUGUUUUUGUUUUUGCUUUGCAGGCAGCAAGGCAUGAGGCGCAGGCCUCUAUCACUCCAUAUGGCACAGAAGAUGCUUUUAGCAAAGGGCACUGACAAGUCAGGGCAACGCCAAGUAAGUUCGGCAUGAAAACAACUUUGUUUGGGGGCCUGAAGGGACAGCGCCUGUGGACUGUCUACUGGCCUGUCCAGUGCAGGCUUGGUAAACCCAAGUAAAGCUGACAAGAAAAGGGUUUUAAAAACCUCAGUACAAAAGACCCUCUUAACACAUUUAGAACCAAAUGAUUUGUUCUUAAAAACACGGUACUAAGUGUCACAAAGCUUUUCCCUCCAAUCUACUACUAGAAAACACUCAUGCCAUGGCCUACAGACCCAGAGGAAUCAGGACAGACUGAACCUGUUCUUCCAAAACAAAAAUAAAAU